GCUUGGCUGGUUCAGUUGGUGGAGCAUGUGACUCUUGAUCUCAGGGUUGUGGGUUUGAGCCCCCAUGUUGGGUG
This is a non-coding RNA of Ailuropoda melanoleuca (giant panda), 74 nucleotides long. Lineage: Eukaryota; Metazoa; Chordata; Mammalia; Carnivora; Ursidae. The record is from Rfam.